UGCUGAUGCAGGGCGGCGCUGCACCGCUCGCAGCUCUUCAGUCCCUGUCGUGCCGUCCCCAACAGUGAGAGCGCGAUCGCAGGGUCCGUGCGGGGUGGGCCUGCUUCGGGGAAGUAGGUGGGCCCCACCCCGUCACAGUGACCGACUCUUCCUGUGGGGUGGGGUUCCAGUGCCUAGCCCUGUCCAUCAGCUCCUGGGGCGGAGGGCUGUGGUAUCUCCCCUGACAUUGAUAGGUCCUCCACAGUCUGGUGUGACCCCUUUCCCAGUUUUCUGAUCAGAGAACUUGGUCGCUAACUGGCUGUUCAGAGUCAAGAUACGGUAACCAAGGCACUGAGAGGUGAAGUGACUUCUCUACAACAACAAACCGAGCCCAUGAUAGAGCUAGGAAUGGAGCCCUGGUCUCUGACUCUGUCUGCACCUGCCUCCUUUACAGGAACAAAGAGUCAUUAAGGUUCUAAUGAAAGCAGAAAGACCACCGGACAGAAGAGUAUCCAGGAAGGACUGCACCUCAGGGUUCCCUCCACCCAUGGACUUAUGAGCUAUACCAGAGACAAAGACUUUGUUUUGAUUUAUGGGUGGUGCCUUCUAGGACAUAUCUAGAUAUGUUUUUAAAUACCUCCCAUCUAUACCCAGGACAAAGAGGGCUACACCUAUCAUUUUAAACCUUGUUUGCUUUAUUUUCCCUGUAACCCACCCUUGAGCCCCCAGAUUCACUGCACCUUAACUUGUUCAAUUUGUCUUUGCUUUCAAUUUGUUUCAAACAUUCACUUAAAACAUUUUGCUAUGCUAUAUAAUAGUAAUUAGUUUGCACUGCUUAGUCAUACGUGUUAUUAUUGGCAUAGGCCAGGGGAAGAGAACAUAGACUAGGAGCUAUAGACUAGGAGCUAUAUUGUUACUUCUUCAUCUACUAAAUGUACUUCUGGCAUCCUGUCUGUUUCCUUUAACUGUAAUUCAUAUUUUUUCUUCUCUCAUCAGUAAAAAACAAACAAACCCUCUCACUCCCCCUGUACAGAGUGGGACGAUCAUGCUCUUGUUCAGACUUGGCUCUAAUAGCCACUAUGAUUUGCAGCCUUUAUAUAAUCAGCUAAUUUAAUGUAAUUCCUACACUUUCAAUCAAGCCUGGUGAGCAGAUGGCAGAAUUAAAGCCUGUAGGUUGUGUCUAAUGAUGAAGCCUGAUUUCAAGAUCUCACUCUUAGCCUCAUGUUGUCAGAGUAUUCUGAUAUUCCAGGCAUAGAUGCAACCAAAUUAAAAUAGGGGUGGGCCCGGGGAGCCCAGAAGAGAGAGAACAUGAGUCUAACAUCUUGAUGAAAUCCUCCUUUAAGAGAGAAGAGCCUUACAGAACUGAAUAGAGAUCAAAACCUACCUAUAGCAUUUGAACCUCUUUCUAUAGACAGAUGAGUUGGAUGAGGAAAUAUCUUUUAUUGGACCAGAAUUUGUUGGUGAAAGAGACGAGCUCUUCUUCUGCACUGGUCCAAAGCUUCUGCACAGGUCCAAAGCUUAUCUUUUUCGUCAACAUAUUUUGGUCCAAUAUAAGCUAUUACCUCACCCACUUUGACUAUUUAUUAUGCCGGGACUGGCACAGUUAUUAUAUCCCUGCUAACUCCUUUAUAUUGUUUUUUAAAUCACUUUAUAAAAAGGGCAGAAUUCUCAAUUGAAUUUCAUAAGGGUGGCCUCAGAACUACAUUUUCAAACUAAAUUGUAUAAGACUUUUCUAUAGGGAAUUAAACAGCUGUGACUGUGACUCACCCAUGUGGACGUAUCUGUAAUUAACUCAUACCAAGCUCUUUGCUGAAGAACUGAUGCCACCUCUCCAUGUGUAUUUGUGUGGGUAGAGAACACUUUGAAGACACACAAUGAUAUAUAACAAUGCCAUAGAUUUUCUAGUAGCAGCACAGAGCAAUAUAUUUCAUCUGGUAGCACUUUGGGUUAACUUAGACUGGUGUUGAAAGGCAGUUCGGGUAAUAGGUUUUUAGGAAUGCUUAGGAUAAGAUCUUAAACUUUAGCUUCUCUCUGUUUGCCACCUUGGAAGUCAGUUAAGAAUCCCUGCUGGUCAUAGGUUUGACCAACAUUCAUUUUCCCACUCAACAGAUUUCACAGCUACAUGGGUUACUGAGUCACACUACCCUACUAGCACCUCUGACACUGGGAGGAUGAUCUAAAAGCUAGGACAGGGUCAGGACCCCUGAGUUUGGUUCAAGCUCUGACACUGACAAUUGUUUCCCUUUCCUAUAAAAUGGGGUUAACAAUACUCAGAGGAUAGUGUAAAUCUCAACCCAUUAAUGUCAGAAGUGUUUUCAAAGCCUUGGAUGAAAGGUGCUGUAGAAUCCUGGAACUAUUGUCAAUGGUUUGUAUUAUAGUUGCCCUACAUGUGGAUGCACAGGAUCAGAGUGUGAGAAGGAAGGGUAGGUACAUAUGAGGGCAGGGGAGGCAGCCCUGCAUGCUGGGGAAGGCAGCUGCUGCUCUCUGAUUAAUUCCUUUAAAGAAGAGGGUGCCCAAUGGGCAAAAGACAGGAAGAGAAUAGAUAGAAUCAUGGUAGCAUCAGCAUCCUUGCACCAGUCAAUUGCACAGGAAGGACCUGCUCAGCCUCUAUGAAAUAACUUAUACGAGACCCUGCAUUGGGUAUUGCCAGUCGGAUUGCUUGAUUGCUGCCUGACCAUGCCCAUCAAACACACAACGCCUCCCCUUUGCCUGGAGGCAUGAUCGCAUAUGGAGAAGGCAAUUUGGACUCAGCAGUUACUGUGGCAGGAGGAAGCCCUACCUCUAUCUAUUUUUGAACAUUGCUGUUUGGAAGUUUCCACAGCUUCACUCAAGAGGGUAAUUAUUCCAAAUUGCAGAGGUGGGUGGAUUAAGAUUGUUUUAUUAAAAUAAUUAAUGUGUAUCUUUUGGAUGCUGGUCCUGGAGGCUGCCAGGUGUGUGGCUGUACUGCAUAUGCCAUUAACAGGACCAGGACAGACACUAAGAUGAGAAGGCACCUUAUACCUAGACAGCUACCGAAGACAGAAUCGGGACAAACCAGGCUGGCCAGUAGGGUAGAGUGAGAGGCUCUCUUUCCCCUUUGUAUGAGCUCUUCUCCAGUCCUGACACUUGGGGAAGCACAGGGCUGACUCAAGCAAUGGGCAUAUAGGUGGAGAGGGGUGAGCAAGCAGGGCCCCUUCAGCCCUGCAGAGAAAGCCCAGGCCCAGAGAAACAGUGCUUGAGAGAAGUGCCCUAUGGGCACUAUCCCUCUCAGAGCUCCCCCGGUGCCAGGUGUCCAUGCUGCACUCCUUAGCGGCAGUUUGCUCUCAGCUCUUACAGGGAUCAGGAGCAUUAUAAAAUACCUAGACUUUUAGACAGACGUACAUGCCAGGGGCUGCUUAGGCAUAGUUACCAGAUUUGCACAUUUGAUUUACCAUCUGCCCGGACAAAUUCAUAUUUGCAUAGACAGCUGAGGGCUUUGUUGUGCCCCUGUGGUUGUUGAGUUGGCAGGCUUGGUGAGUGCAGUUUAAACUGCCUGUUUGCAACAUGUUCUCCAAAAUGCACAGUGAGGGUGGGCUAGGGCUUAAUUGGCAAAAGGAAAGUGACAGGAAGGGGCAUGGAUGAAUUUUUUGGCAUUCACUAUCUUGACGGGCCCUCUGUGUCUGUUGCUAAACCUCUGCUCUCCUGUGUGCUUGGUACAGUGGCUGUGAAAUGUCCAGAGGGCCCCAUUUGCAUCUCUCUACACUUUCCCUCUGCAAGCUGUGGACAUGCAAGAUUAAUUCCCAGCCUUGAUUGUCAGCAUCUCCGUGUGCAGGUUCAUCAGGUGCAGCACUGACUUGGGCUUGUCUGAACCUUGAUGAUAAGCUCUCCUUGUUAAAAGCCAUUAUAGUUGCUUCUAGCUGAGUGUAAUUCUGACUGACUGCUAUAGUUCUCCUUUGCAUGUAAUUGAAUUCAUGUUCAUCAGAAAGCAAUGAAAAAUAAAUUGUGUGCGUGU
Long non-coding RNA from Pelodiscus sinensis (Chinese soft-shelled turtle), 3949 nucleotides. RefSeq lists it as uncharacterized. The record is from RefSeq and is a predicted model, not a curated record. NCBI's taxonomy places the organism in Eukaryota, Metazoa, Chordata, Testudines, Trionychidae.